ACGUAGGGUGCAAGCGUUAAUCGGAAUUACUGGGCGUAAAGGGCGCGUAGGCGGCCUGUUAAGUCGAACGUGAAAUCCCCGGGCUCAACCUGGGAACUGCAUCCGAGACUGCAUUGCUAGAGUAUGGGAGAGGGAAGCGGAAUUUCUGGUGUAGCAGUGAAAUGCGUAGAUAUCAGAAGGAACAUCAGUGGCGAAGGCGGCUUCCUGGACCAAUACUGACGAUCAGGUGCGAAAGCGUGGGGAGCAAACAGGA
This 253-nucleotide ribosomal RNA is filed under the name uncultured prokaryote. Its description in RNAcentral is "partial 16S ribosomal RNA". It matches the Rfam family "Bacterial small subunit ribosomal RNA", at positions 525 to 777 of the family's 1533-position model. The record is from RNAcentral.